AUGGGUAUGCAGUCUAUGAUGGAUGUCCGGUGCAUGAACCUUGUCAACCCUGUAUGCGACUGGCUUGGUGAGAUCUACGACCCCGCCUCCAGGGAAUUCGUGAUUCCGGGAUGUGGAAGACUACCGUUGAACGAGGAAUCCGUGUUCUGCACUUUGGGUGUGCCUCGUGGACAUAUCAAAGUCCCGUACGAGGUCAACAAUGAGAUCGAGGAAGCGUUGUUCCCCCGUUUGUUUCCUGGGUCGGAAUCCAUGCCGAACACGUCUGCAGUGGCAGAUUCGCUGCAGGCCAUGAAAACGCAUGGAGAUGUUUUCAAGAUGAAGCUACUCAUGUACCUCAUCUCAGCUGUAUUCGCGCCGACCACCUCUCUUCGCCCAAGCAACAAAUGCUUCCCCGUCCUGGUGAAUGAUCCAUCUUUACUACUUUAUUUUCCUUUGAUCUUUUUGGCUCCGAUGUCAUGUGUAAAGCGGAUCUGGAAAAUGUGA
RNAcentral lists this ribosomal RNA (483 nucleotides) under Triticum aestivum (bread wheat). RNAcentral describes it as "partial small subunit ribosomal RNA". The record is from RNAcentral. Lineage: Eukaryota; Viridiplantae; Streptophyta; Magnoliopsida; Poales; Poaceae.